GCCGGAUAUGGUGGUGCACACCUGUAAUCCCAGCAGCUUGGGAGGCUGAGGCAGGAGGACCUCGAGUUCAACAGUGAAGCCCUCAGCAAUUUAAUGAGACCCUGUCUCUU
This 110-nucleotide small RNA is filed under the name Marmota monax (woodchuck). The record is from RNAcentral. Lineage: Eukaryota; Metazoa; Chordata; Mammalia; Rodentia; Sciuridae.